GACGAACGCUGGCGGCGUGCCUAAUACAUGCAAGUUGAGCGCUGAAGGUUGGUACUUGUACCAACUGGAUGAGCAGCGAACGGGUGAGUAACGCGUGGGGAAUCUGCCUUUGAGCGGGGGACAACAUUUGGAAACGAAUGCUAAUACCGCAUAAAAACUUUAAACACAAGUUUUAAGUUUGAAAGAUGCAAUUGCAUCACUCAAAGAUGAUCCCGCGUUGUAUUAGCUAGUUGGUGAGGUAAAGGCUCACCAAGGCGAUGAUACAUAGCCGACCUGAGAGGGUGAUCGGCCACAUUGGGACUGCGACACGGCCCAACCUCCUACGGGAGGCAGCAGUAGGGGAUCUUCGGCAAUGGACGAAAGUCUGACCGAGCAACGCCGCGUGAGUGAAGAAGGUUUUCGGAUCGUAAAACUCUGUUGGUAGAGAAGAACGCUGGUGAGAGUGGAAAGCUCAUCAAGUGACGGUAACUACCCAGAAAGGGACGGCUAACUACGUG
This 497-nucleotide ribosomal RNA is filed under the name uncultured bacterium. RNAcentral describes it as "partial 16S ribosomal RNA". It matches the Rfam family "Bacterial small subunit ribosomal RNA", at positions 28 to 507 of the family's 1533-position model. The record is from RNAcentral.